GAUGAACGCUGGCGGCGUGCCUAAUACAUGCAAGUCGAGCGAACAGACGAGGAGCUUGCUCCUCUGACGUUAGCGGCGGACGUGUGAGUAACACGUGGAUAACCUACCUAUAAGACUGGGAUAACUUCGGGAAACCGGAGCUAAUACCGGAUAAUAUAUUGAACCGCAUGGUUCAAUAGUGAAAGACGGUUUUGCUGUCACUUAUAGAUGGAUCGGCGCCGCAUUAGCUAGUUGGUAAGGUAACGGCUUACCAAGGCAACGAUGCGUAGCCGACCUGAGAGGGUGAUCGGCCACACUGGAACUGAGACACGGUCCAGACUCCUACGGGAGGCAGCAGUAGGGAAUCUUCCGCAAUGGGCGAAAGCCUGACGGAGCAACGCCGCGUGAGUGAUGAAGGUCUUCGGAUCGUAAAACUCUGUUAUUAGGGAAGAACAAAUGUGUAAGUAACUAUGCACGUCUUGACGGUACCGAAUCAGAAAGCCACGGCUAACUACGUG
Molecule: ribosomal RNA, 497 nt
Filed under: uncultured bacterium
Lineage: Bacteria
Description: partial 16S ribosomal RNA
Rfam family: Bacterial small subunit ribosomal RNA
Source: RNAcentral